AGAGUUUGAUCCUGGCUCAGAACGAACGCUGGCGGCGUGCUUAAUACAUGCAAGUCGAACGAGAAAGUCAUCUUCGGGUGGCGAGUAAAGUGGCAAACGGGUGAGUAACACGUAAGCAACCUACCCUUAAGAUUGGGACAACCCUGCUAACGCGGGGCUAAUACUAAAUGUGAACAUUUUUCCGCAUGGAUUUUUGUUUAAAUGAAUUUCGCUUAAGGAUGGGCUUGCGGACCAUUAGCUUGUUGGUGGGGUAACGGCCUACCAAGGCUGCGAUGGUUAGCCGACCUGAGAGGGUGAUCGGCCACAUUGGGACUGAGAUACGGCCCAGACUCCUACGGGAGGCAGCAGUAGGGAAUUUUGCGCAAUGGACGAAAGUCUGACGCAGCAACGCCGCGUGAGCGAUGAAUGUCUUCGGAUUGUAAAGCUCUGUUGAGUGGGAAGAAAAGCUUCGGUAUGACGGUACCACUCGAGGAAGCCCCGGCUAAUUACGUGCCAGCAGCCGCGGUAAUACGUAAGGGGCAAGCGUUGUUCGGAAUCACUGGGCGUAAAGGGAGCGUAGGCGGAUAGGUAAGUAGAAGUUAAAUACAACGGCUCAACCGUUGAUCUGCUUUUAAUACUGUCUAUCUUGAGUACAGGAGAGGAAGACGGAAUUCCAGGUGUAGCGGUGGAAUGCGUAGAUAUCUGGAAGAACACCAGUUGCGAAGGCGGUCUUCUGGCCUAGUACUGACGCUAAUGCUCGAAAGCUAGGGGAGCAAACAGGAUUAGAUACCCUGGUAGUCCUAGCCGUAAACGAUGGACACUAGUUGUCGGAGGAGUCAAUCCUUUCGGUGACGAAGCUAACGCAUUAAGUGUCCCGCCUGGGGAGUACGCUCGCAAGGGUGAAACUCAAAGGAAUUGACGGGGGCCCGCACAAGCGGUGGAGCAUGUGCUUUAAUUCGAUGCAACGCGAAGAACCUUACCUGGGUUUGACAUGGGGGUGAAACUCUUUAGAGAUAGAGAUCUUUCCUUCGGGAACACCCUACACAGGUGCUGCAUGGUUGUCGUCAGCUCGUGUCGUGAGAUGUUGGGUUAAGUCCCGCAACGAGCGCAACCCUCGCCCUUAGUUGCCAUCAGGUAAAGCUGGGAACUCUAGGGGGACUGCUUGGUAUAACCAGGAGGAAGGUGGGGAUGACGUCAAAUCAUCAUGGCCCUUACGCCCAGGGCUAGACACGUGCUACAAUGGCCAGUACAGCGGGAUGCGACACUGCGAAGUGAAGC
RNAcentral lists this ribosomal RNA (1257 nucleotides) under metagenome. RNAcentral describes it as "bacterial SSU rRNA". It matches the Rfam family "Bacterial small subunit ribosomal RNA", at positions 8 to 1268 of the family's 1533-position model. The record is from RNAcentral.